This 496-nucleotide ribosomal RNA is filed under the name uncultured bacterium. Its description in RNAcentral is "bacterial SSU rRNA". It matches the Rfam family "Bacterial small subunit ribosomal RNA", at positions 9 to 526 of the family's 1533-position model. The record is from RNAcentral.
GAGUUUGAUCCUGGCUCAGAACGAACGCUGGCGGCGUGGAUAAGACAUGCAAGUCGAACGGGAGAAUUGCUAGCUUGCUAAUAAUUCUCUAGUGGCGCACGGGUGAGUAACACGUGAGUAACCUGCCUCUUAGUGGGGGAUAGCCCUGGGAAACCGGGAUUAAUACCGCAUACGAUUGAAAGAUCAAAGCAGCAAUGCGCUAGGAGAUGGGCUCGCGGCCUAUUAGUUAGUUGGUGAGGUAACGGCUCACCAAGGCGAUGACGGGUAGCCGGUCUGAGAGGAUGUCCGGCCACACUGGAACUGAGACACGGUCCAGACACCUACGGGUGGCAGCAGUCGAGAAUCAUUCACAAUGGGGGCAACCCUGAUGGUGCGACGCCGCGUGGGGGAAUGAAGGUCUUCGGAUUGUAAACCCCUGUCAUGUGGGAGCAAAUUAAAAAGAUAGUACCACAAGAGGAAGAGACGGCUAACUCUGUGCCAGCCGCCGCGGUAAUAC